GACGAACGCUGGCGGCGUGCUUAAAACAUGCAAGUCGAACGGGUAUCUCAUGAAGCUUGCGAUUGAGAUAUUAGUGGCGGACGGGUGAGUAACGCGUGGGCAACCUGCCCCUAAGCCCGGGAUAACAGUCCGAAAGGAUUGCUAAGACCGGAUACUCUCGCUACGAAGCAUUUGGUAGCGAGGAAAGGAAACGCUUGGGGAUGGGCCCGCGUCCCAUUAGCUAGUUGGUGAGGUAACGGCCCACCAAGGCGACGAUGGGUAGCCGGCCUGAGAGGGUGAACGGCCACACUGGGACUGAGACACGGCCCAGACUCCUACGGGAGGCAGCAGUUGGGAAUCUUCGGCAAUGGGCGCAAGCCUGACCGAGCAACGCCGCGUGAGUGAUGAAGGUUUUCGGAUUGUAAAGCUCUGUCUUCCGGGACGAUAAUGACGGUACCGGAAGAGGAAGCCACGGCUAACUACGUG
Molecule: ribosomal RNA, 465 nt
Filed under: uncultured organism
Description: bacterial SSU rRNA
Rfam family: Bacterial small subunit ribosomal RNA
Source: RNAcentral